CCUACGGGAGGCUGCAGUGAGGAAUAUUGGUCAAUGGGCUUACGCCUGACCCAGCCAAGUCGCGUGAGGGAAGACUGCCCUCUGGGUUGUAAACCUCUUUUGUCAGGGAGCAACGCCGGCUACGUGUAGCCGGACUGAGAGUACCUGAAGACACAGCAUCGGCUAACUCCGUGCCAGCAGCCGCGGUAAUACGGAGGAUGCGAGCGUUAUCCGGAUUUAUUGGGUUUACAGGGUGCGUAGGCGGAAUGCCAAGUCAGCGGUAAAAUCGCGGGGCUCAACCUCGCUCCGCCGUUGAAACUGGCGUUCUUGAGUGGGCGAGAGGUAUGCGGAAUGCGUGGUGUAGCGGUGAAAUGCAGAGAUAUCACGCAGAACUCCGAUUGCGAAGGCAGCAUACCGGCGCCCAACUGACGCUGAAGCACGAAAGCGUGGGUAGCGAACAGGAUUAGAGACCCGGGUAGUC
Molecule: ribosomal RNA, 460 nt
Filed under: uncultured bacterium
Lineage: Bacteria
Description: partial 16S ribosomal RNA
Rfam family: Bacterial small subunit ribosomal RNA
Source: RNAcentral